GCGGAUGUGGUGUAAUUGGUAGCCACGCCAGAAUCAGGAUCUGGUGCCGCAAGGCAUGGGGGUUCGAGUCCCUUCAUCCGCAC
Molecule: transfer RNA, 83 nt
Filed under: Chryseobacterium hagamense
Lineage: Bacteria; Pseudomonadati; Bacteroidota; Flavobacteriia; Flavobacteriales; Weeksellaceae
Description: tRNA-Leu
Rfam family: tRNA
About the family: Transfer RNA (tRNA) molecules are approximately 80 nucleotides in length.
Source: RNAcentral